GCUGGGUGUGGUGGCACACGCCUGUAAUCCCAGCUACUCGGGAGGCUGAGGCAGGAGAAUCGCUUGAACCCGGGAGAUGGAGGUUGCGGUGAGCCAAGAUUGUGCCACUGCACUCCAGCCUGGGUGACAGAGCGAGACUCCGUCUCAA
This is an unclassified non-coding RNA of Pongo abelii (Sumatran orangutan), 148 nucleotides long. It matches the Rfam family "Metazoan signal recognition particle RNA". From Rfam's summary of the family: The signal recognition particle (SRP) is a universally conserved ribonucleoprotein. It is involved in the co-translational targeting of proteins to membranes. NCBI's taxonomy places the organism in Eukaryota, Metazoa, Chordata, Mammalia, Primates, Hominidae. The record is from Ensembl.